CCUACGGGGUGCACCAGUGGGGAAUAUUGCACAACGGGCGCAAGCCUGAUGCAGCCAUGCCGCGUGUAUGAAGAAGGCCUUCGGGUUGUAAGGUACUUUCAGCGAGGAGGAAGGCGAUAAGGUUAAUAACCUUGUCGAUUGACGUUACUCGCAGAAGAAGCACCGGCUAACUCCGUGCCAGCAGACGCGGUAAUACGGAGGGUGCAAGCGUUAAUCGGAAUUACUGGGCGUAAAGCGCACGCAGGCGGUCUGUCAAGUCGGAUGUGAAAUCCCCGGGCUCAACCUGGGAACUGCAUUCGAAACUGGCAGGCUAGAGUCUUGUAGAGGGGGGUAGAAUUCCAGGGGUAGCGGUGAAAUGCGUAGAGAUCUGGAGGAAUACCGGUGGCGAAGGCGGCCCCCUGGACAAAGACUGACGCUCAGGUGCGAAAGCGUGGGGAGCAAACAGGAUUAGAUACCCCCGUAGUC
Molecule: ribosomal RNA, 465 nt
Filed under: uncultured bacterium
Lineage: Bacteria
Description: bacterial SSU rRNA
Rfam family: Bacterial small subunit ribosomal RNA
Source: RNAcentral